UUUAUAUGCUGUGAUGAUAUCUGUGUAUCCCAGCUCAUUAUGAGAUCUUUUGUAGGUCGAGGAAUGAACUAUUUCCACAUUUAUCUGAGCACAGA
Molecule: non-coding RNA, 95 nt
Organism: Cucumis sativus (cucumber)
Lineage: Eukaryota; Viridiplantae; Streptophyta; Magnoliopsida; Cucurbitales; Cucurbitaceae
Source: Rfam